Molecule: ribosomal RNA, 405 nt
Filed under: uncultured bacterium
Lineage: Bacteria
Description: partial 16S ribosomal RNA
Rfam family: Bacterial small subunit ribosomal RNA
Source: RNAcentral
AUUGAACGCUAGCGGGGUGCUUUACACAUGCAAGUCGAACGAGUGGCGGACGGGUGAGUAAUAUAUUGGAACGUGCCCAGUAGCGGGGGAUCACUACUCGAAAGAGUGGCCAAUUCCGCAUACUCUUCGAGUGGCCGAUAGCGGAUUAGCUAGAUGGUGGGGUAAAGGCUCACAAAGGCAACGAUCCGUAGCUGGUUUGAGAGGACGACCAGCCACACUGGGACUGAGACACGGCCCAGACUCCUACGGGAGGCAGCAGUGGGGAAUUUUGGACAAUGGGGGAAACCCUGAUCCAGCCAUCCCGCGUGUAUGAGAAGGCCUUCGGGUUGUAAAGUACUUUUGGCAGAGAAGCGGUAUCUGCAGAAUAAGCACCGGCUAACUACGUGCCAGCCGCCGCGGUAAUUC